AAGUCGUAACAAGGUUUCCGUAGGUGAACCUGCGGAAUGGAUCAUUAGAGAAAUGCUAUAUGAAUGAAGUUAGAGGACGUCUAAAGAUACUGUAAGAGAGGAUCAGGUUCAAGACCAGCGCUUAAUUGCGCGGUUGCGGCUUGGUUCGCCUUUUGCGGAACAUGUCUUUUCUCGUUGUUAACUCUACUUCAACUUCUACAACACUGUGGAGUUUUCUACACAACUUUUCUUCUUUGGGAAGAUACGUCUUGUGCGUGCUUUCCCAGAGGUGACAAACACAAACAACUUUUUAUUAUUUAUAAACCCAGUCAAACCAAUUUCGUUAUGAAUUAAAUUAUUUAAAA
Molecule: unclassified non-coding RNA, 344 nt
Filed under: plant metagenome
Description: partial contains small subunit ribosomal RNA and internal transcribed spacer 1
Rfam family: Eukaryotic small subunit ribosomal RNA (bases 1-47)
Source: RNAcentral